Molecule: ribosomal RNA, 159 nt
Filed under: uncultured bacterium
Lineage: Bacteria
Description: partial 16S ribosomal RNA
Rfam family: Bacterial small subunit ribosomal RNA
Source: RNAcentral
UGGGGAAUAUUGGACAAUGGACGAAAGUCUGAUCCAGCGAUGCCGCGUGAGUGAAGAAGGUCUUCGGAUUGUAAAGCUCUUUUAUCAGGGAAGAAAAGUCUGUGUUAAUAGCACAAGACGCUGACGGUACCUGAAGAAUAAGGAUCGGCUAACUACGUG